This is a long non-coding RNA of Saccostrea echinata, 245 nucleotides long. RefSeq lists it as uncharacterized. The record is from RefSeq and is a predicted model, not a curated record. Lineage: Eukaryota; Metazoa; Mollusca; Bivalvia; Ostreida; Ostreidae. The transcript is spliced from 3 exons.
GGCUAAAAGAACCUCUGUAAAAAGUUUUAUGCAGCCAGAAGAUUGUGUUGAUGCUGUGAACGACUAUUGAUUUGAAAGUGGUGAGUGAACACACAGAUGGAAUCUACGGCUACACUACAUUCUGUGAUUUUUCUGGGAGAUCUGAGCCUAUUUGUCGGAAUGGUGGCUAAGAACCAUACCGUUAGGUGAAGUACUGAGAACUGCACAGAAACAUAAACAUACAGUAAAUAGAGAAGGAAUCAGGA